AUUGAACGCUGGCGGCAGGCCUAACACAUGCAAGUCGAACGGUAACAGGAAGAAGCUUGCUUCUUUGCUGACGAGUGGCGGACGGGUGAGUAAUGUCUGGGAAACUGCCUGAUUGAGGGGGAUAACUACUGGAAACGGUAGCUAAUACCGCAUAAUGUCGCAAGACCAAAGAGGGGGACCUUCGGGCCUCUUGCCGUCGUAUGUUCCCAGAUGGGAUUAGCUAGUAGGUGGGGUAACGGCUCACCUAGGCGACCAUCCCUAGCUGGUCUGAGAGGAUGACCAGCCACACUGGAACUGAGCCACGGUCAAGACGCCUACGGGAGGCAGCAGUGGGGAAUAUUGCACAAUGGGCGCAAGCCUGAUGCAGCUAUGCCGAGUGUAUGAAGAAGGCCUUCGGGUUGUAAAGUACUUUCAGCGGGGAGGAAGGGAGUAAAGUUAAUACCUUUGCUCAUUGACGGUACUCGCAGAAGAAGCACCGGCUAACUACGUG
RNAcentral lists this ribosomal RNA (490 nucleotides) under uncultured bacterium. RNAcentral describes it as "partial 16S ribosomal RNA". It matches the Rfam family "Bacterial small subunit ribosomal RNA", at positions 30 to 507 of the family's 1533-position model. The record is from RNAcentral.